UGCAAGUCUUGGCAUUGGCAGAACGUCUGAAAAUGCCCCUAGUAGAGGGACCUUCAUGGUACAGCAGGAGCAGCAUAUCCAUGAUUGGCUUGGGAAGGAUCCCAUCAGGACAGACAGAGGACAGAGACAUGCCGAAGAGUUUCUGUGGGGUGGUAGGUGACUGCAAAGGAGGGCUGUCUGUGGGUGCACUGGUGCUGCGCCGCAGGGCCCAGUCAAUCAAGGACUUCUUCCUCUUGGUGUGCUUCUGUAGUGACUCUAAAAGAAAACAUACAUUCAUUACACAUAUAGCUGUCAUUCCUACUGGCCAGUGACUGACAUGCAGCAGAGGCAGAGAUCCCAGCAAAUCAAGGACUUUCUACCAACUCAUCGAAAAUAACUUCAUUGUUAAUGAGGAUGGUCAGGGGAUACACAGCAGUUAAGCCACCUGUUCAUCUUACAGUCAUCAACAAAACUCUUAUUCAC
This 462-nucleotide long non-coding RNA is filed under the name Gallus gallus (chicken). The record is from RNAcentral. Lineage: Eukaryota; Metazoa; Chordata; Aves; Galliformes; Phasianidae.